Molecule: non-coding RNA, 976 nt
Organism: Leptonychotes weddellii (Weddell seal)
Lineage: Eukaryota; Metazoa; Chordata; Mammalia; Carnivora; Phocidae
Source: RefSeq, a predicted model, not a curated record
AUCGUAUGCACUGGGCGGCGCCAAUGGCACCCAGACCCCGUCCUGGUCCACUGCAUUCAGUCGUGUGAGCCUUUCCAAGCAGAUGGAUGGUGUGAUACCAUCAACAACCGGGCCUACUGCCACUAUGAUGGGGGAGACUGCUGCUCUUCCACGCUCUCCUCCAAGAAGGUCAUUCCAUUUGCUGCUGACUGUGACCUGGAUGAAUGCACCUGCCGAGACCCCAAGGCUGAAGAAAAUCAGUAACUGUGGGAUCAAGCCCCUCCUUCCACUGCCCUGGAGGCAGGAAGAAAGAGAGGCCUCCAUAACAGAAAACAAAAGGUGAAUGAAGAAGAAAUGUUGUGAAAUGAAGGAAGGAGGAAGAGCAUGAGGAUCUUAUAGACAUGCAGGAGAAUGUUUAUAGGUGCCAACUGUUGCAUCAAGUAGCCCAAGUAGGGAAGAAUCACAGGCAAAAGUUUCUUCAAAGAGGCAGUUGAUUAAAAGUGGAAGGAGAAAUAUGAUAGAUAUACAAGGACCCUCCUCCCCCAUUUAUAUUCUAUUCAACCCAUCCUCAACUCUUGCCCUACUCCCCGCUCUGCACCCCGCCAACUAUUCAGCCCCACCCAACUUGUAAACCAAUACUAGAAGAGAAGUUGCCAGGGACACUCUGUUAACACCCAUUUUGAAUGGAUUGCCAUCUUUCAGGGCUCAUCUACUCUAAACUGGCUCCCUUUCUUUCGUGUAGUCUCCUUUAGUAAUAAUGAGGUUAGUUAUUAAUUCUUUAUAGGUAUUUAAACAUAAUUAUAUAAAUCUAUUAUAUAUAUUAUAUUUUUUGCUGUCUACUAAGCUAAAAAUUAUACAUUGUUCCACAUAUUGCUGCUGUGAAGUUCACUUCCAAAAUGAAUCCUGAGGGUUUGAGGACAGCAAGAAAAGUUGUUCUGCCAUUUUUCUAUUGAUGGGGGUUGGCAGGUUGAAAGGGAAGUGGUGAAGGGGAGGGAGA